This is a long non-coding RNA of Puntigrus tetrazona (Sumatra barb), 519 nucleotides long. RefSeq lists it as uncharacterized. The record is from RefSeq and is a predicted model, not a curated record. The transcript has 3 exons. NCBI's taxonomy places the organism in Eukaryota, Metazoa, Chordata, Actinopteri, Cypriniformes, Cyprinidae.
GACGCGCGUUCACACGAGGACGGGACGCGUUUGAACGAAAGAGCGAGCUGUGUCUCCAAACACGGACCCUGCUUCGGAUUCACCCGCGCUUCUCGCGCUACCGCCAGUCUGUACUUCAGAAACGGGACUGUAAUAACAACACCGGGGCGCAGCACAACAGAUCCCGGAGAAGCGCGCUUUUGAUAUGAGAUGACGACAGACUGCUCUGGUUUGAAGUGGUGUCCCUGUGGGCUACUCGGCGCUGGACGGACGGCAGCGGAACCCGACAGUGACAGAUAGAGCGGUCUUUGUCUCCAGCUCACCUGUGGUGCUCCUGGAUGUUCAUCAGGAUGGUGCAUUCAGCGUCUCUCUGUGCCUGUCUGUCUCUUCUGACUGUGCUCAGCUGUCACUCUCAUGUCCUCCCCCGGCUCUCUUUUCCUAUGGGUGACCCAGGUCGUUCCCUCAGUAUCUUCACAAACCCUGACGUUUACAACACCACCACGCUGUUGCUUAGCAAUGACGAGGCCACGUUAUUCGUCG